Molecule: ribosomal RNA, 254 nt
Filed under: uncultured bacterium
Lineage: Bacteria
Description: partial 16S ribosomal RNA
Rfam family: Bacterial small subunit ribosomal RNA
Source: RNAcentral
UACGUAGGGUGCGAGCGUUAAUCGGAAUUACUGGGCGUAAAGCGUGCGCAGGCGGUGAUGUAAGACCGAUGUGAAAUCCCCGGGCUUAACCUGGGAACUGCAUUGGUGACUGCAUUGCUGGAGUAUGGCAGAGGGGGGUGGAAUUCCACGUGUAGCAGUGAAAUGCGUAGAGAUGUGGAGGAACACCGAUGGCGAAGGCAGCCCCCUGGGCCAAUACUGACGCCUCAUGCACGAAAGCGUGGGGAGCAAACAGG